Non-coding RNA from Agelaius phoeniceus (red-winged blackbird), 1811 nucleotides. The record is from RefSeq and is a predicted model, not a curated record. NCBI's taxonomy places the organism in Eukaryota, Metazoa, Chordata, Aves, Passeriformes, Icteridae.
GGCGGCGGGAAGGAGCCCGAGGGCGGGACGGGCACCGGGACGGGCGGCCGUGCUCCCCGGCCGCGGCCCCGCGGCCCGGGACACCGCUCCCUGCCUUGCCCCACCCGGCUCCUCGCAGGUGGAGCCCCCGGGUGGGCUGAGCAGGCAGCCCGGCCUCCGUUCCGCCGCCUCCGGCGCUCCCGUUGCCCUUGCAGGGUAAAGCGUCAGGAGAAGGCACGGGCAUUUCAAGCAGCUGGGUGCUGAGUCCCGGGCGAGCUCACACGCGGCGGUUUGCAGCUCUCGCUGUCCCUAGCUAGGCUUCCGUGGCAUCACCCCCUCCCGGAAAUCUCCAUAGCCAUCAAGAAUUGAUCCGUGAUGUUGCAGCACAAGAGCACAAGAGCUGCCCUAUGAACGUGGCUGCAGUUACCGGGCGAGCAGACACCCACAUCCUCGCUCUGCUAGUCCUCCUGCCAUCUGUCUUUUUGUUACUUUUUGUUACUAUUUUGUUACAAAAAUCCGACUCUACCGCUUUCCGUCAAAAUAGAACAGAAAGUUUGCCAAAAGAGGUAUCAGAGCCAGUGGACAGUCAAAAUAAAAAUGGAUUAUUCAGAGGAGAUAAGGUUCUGGAGAAAAAUUAAAUUAAGAUUUUGCUCUAUGCUCAUUGUAGAGGAACCUAAGAAUAUUCCCAUACUUAUACUUGAUUUUAUGAAAGAUUUAUCAGAGGAUCUGUUUCAAACUGAAGGUCUGUAGAAAAGGUAGUGAAACAAAUGGCUAAAACAAAAAGUGUUGAACAAUUGGAUUGCAUUAUAUUCACCCAAGAGUUUUAAGAGAAGUCAAGACUGAAAAAGCUGAGCUGCUUACUAAUGGUUUUUGUGUAACAUUGCAUUCAGAAGGGCUUUGGUAACAGAAACAGGGAAGAUAGUUAAUAUGCCAAUUAAAAAAAAAAUACCAGCAGCCUGAAAAAUUCUGUAGAGCUGCUGAGCAAUGAGCCUGUUCUCUGUACCAGCCAAGUUAAUAAAAACUUUAAAAAGUGAACUAGUGGAUGCAGGGAGAAAAUGAGGUACUGUGAAAGAUGGCAGAGAGGAGUUCUAAUGAGAACUCCUGGCCUCAGAGAUUGUUUGGAGUCCUGCGAGGAGUCAGCAAAGCAUGUGGACAAGAGACAUUGAGCUGGUAUUUCCUACUUGGGUUUCUUAAAAGUAUUCAACAAAAUCUGUGAGCAAAACCUUCUGAAGGAACUGUAGAAUAAGAGAUGCUUUCAUGUGGAUAGAUGACAUUGCAUUAAAGACAGGUCUCUGUAAGACAGAACAAAACUAUUUCUCCAUGGAUUGAGCCAACAUGCAAAGUUCCACGAGGAUCUGAAUUGGAGCUUGCGGACCGAGAGAAAAUGUAGUAAAACAUCACAAUACAAAAUCUUUUGCUGAUAAGGUUGUUCUUUGGAGCUGCAUCCGGGAGCCUUUCCAGGCAGAGGUAGGCUGGUGACCCAGUGAGGGGCUGAAAUGAAACCAACACCACCCAUUCUUCUCAUUUGGAAACAGCGGAUGUUCACAAGGGACCUGGAAUUAUAUCAACAGGAUAUCAUGGGAAAACAAAAGAAGGCUGGAACUAGCAUGUGGACAAUGUAGCUUUAUCAUUUCCAAUUAAGGAGCUCUUGUUCUGUGGAGUGGUGUCCUGUCCUCUGCCACUCCCUGGCAUCUUUAGUCUGCACAACAACAGAUUUUCAGCUCUCCUUUACUGAUUAGAUUUGAGCUCUGUUUUUAUACAAAUGUUUUGUAUCUUGGUCUGUUGGCUAUGGACAACCAGCUGCAACAUUAAAGGACUAAUUUUAAUUCUGA